RNAcentral lists this long non-coding RNA (631 nucleotides) under Nicotiana benthamiana. RNAcentral describes it as "long non-coding RNA (NBEN_LNC022398)". The record is from RNAcentral. Lineage: Eukaryota; Viridiplantae; Streptophyta; Magnoliopsida; Solanales; Solanaceae.
AAAAACUCAGAAAAAAACUCAAACAGAUGGCAAGUUUACUGUUCCAUUGAAUAUCCUCUUUUUCUGAAUUGAUUUUCUGAAAUUUUCAAGGUUAAAAAACAUUUUUUGAUUUAGUUUGAGAGCUGACAUGAAGUGAUACUGAGUUUGUUUUGAAAAUCUUUUCUGGUUCGAGUUGGUUGAGGGUCCUUAUUCCUUUGGGUUUUUUCAAGUUGAUUUCCUGGUUCUAGUUGUUGAAUUUUGGUGCUAGCUAUUUCUGGUUUGAGUUCACAUAGGUUAUUGUUGAAUACGAAGCUCACCUUUGCUAUUGCUUUGGCUGAACUACUGACUUUCAGUUCUUCUUUGUUUUCUAUUCUUCUUCCAGGUACUUUUCUGGCCUUUGAGUGAUGCAACGUGGAACAUGUAAUCCAAAUGAAUUUAGUUGAAAUAAAGGUGUAGUUUUGCCAAGUUGUGUAAUCUGGAUUAACUUGAUGAUUGGAUUCAUAGAUCUGGUCCAUGGAUGCUGAAGAUUAUACGUGCCUUUUAUUUUUAGUCGUGAAGACUAUUUGAAAUUAAUGAGAGUGUUCUAUAUGGACUUGUGUGUAUUUUAUGAACUUUGUUUCUGAAUAUGUCUAUUUUGAAAUAGUUGAAAUUG